RNAcentral lists this ribosomal RNA (301 nucleotides) under uncultured bacterium. RNAcentral describes it as "partial 16S ribosomal RNA". It matches the Rfam family "Bacterial small subunit ribosomal RNA", at positions 509 to 807 of the family's 1533-position model. The record is from RNAcentral.
CAGCCGCCGCGGGAAGACGAAGGUGGCGAGCGUUGUUCGGAAUCACUGGGCAUAAAGCGCACGUAGGCGGUGACGUAAGUCGGGUGUGAAAUCCCUCGGCCUAACCGAGGAACUGCGCCCGAUACUGCGUUGCUUGAGGAUCAGAGGGGUGCAUGGAAUUUCCGGUGGAGCGGUGAAAUGCGUUGAUAUCGGAAGGAACUCCGGCGGCGAAAGCGAUGCACUGGCUGAUUUCUGACGCUGAGGUGCGAAAGCCAGGGGAGCAAACGGGAUUAGAGACCCGCGUAGUCCCUGUCUCUUAUAC